Long non-coding RNA from Girardinichthys multiradiatus, 240 nucleotides. RefSeq lists it as uncharacterized. The record is from RefSeq and is a predicted model, not a curated record. NCBI's taxonomy places the organism in Eukaryota, Metazoa, Chordata, Actinopteri, Cyprinodontiformes, Goodeidae. The transcript is spliced from 3 exons.
GCGGUCUUUAUUCUUCGUCUCCAGCCAGAGAUGAAAAGCAUCAAAUGAGUGAGAGAAGAAUGGAGGAAACACCACAGAGUCUGCUGCUUUGUCUGAGUUUCCUGCUGUGCUGCAGAAUAAACCAAGCUGGUCUGACUGUGAGUCCCAGUAGAUCUCAGUUCUUUAAAGAAGACUCUGUGUCUCUGAGCUGUGAGGAGGACAACAUCUCUGCUGGAUGGACUGUGAGGAGAAACACAACCA